UUAUAACGCUACUUAGAAAUCAAAAUCCCUAAAUGCUACUUCUCUUCCUCCUUCUCGCCAUUCACAAACCCUCUUUCUGAAACCCUUAUUCUUGCCGUCCUUCUAUCGUUCACAACUGCCGUUGCCAUCAUACUUGAUUUCUUCUUGCUUAGUUUCACUUUGGCCUCUAAUACCAUCUAUCUCCUUCACUUUGUUUCACUCUGUCUCCUUGGCUUUUAGAUCGGAAUGGACAUUGACUCCUCCCUCCUCCCUGCCACCACCACUGUUCGUUCCUCCUCCUCCUCCGGUGGUUGCACUGAUAUUCUUGGCCGGAGUAACACCCCUUCCUUCUCUUAUUUCAAAGACUGGAAGUUUAAUUACGGAGCCGAUCUAAAAGCCAAGUGAGCCUUUUUCUUGUCAUUUUCGUUUGGUUUGAUUCAUACCCUUUAUGGGUUUUUGAAGAUUAAAUCUUUGAUGGGUUUCUUUUUUGUUUUUGUAUGUAUUAUAUAGUAGACACAUUAUUUUGUUUUUGUUUUUUUUUUCCUUUUUGUUUUUCUUUGUCUGGCAUAAGUUAUUUUCCUAAAUUUUUGGACGAUUGUAAUUAGUGGGUCUGUUUCAAUUUUGGAUCUUGCUUCUUGAAUAUUCAAAGUUGCGUUUUCUUUCUUUUUUGUUUUGGUUGAAGAAAUUUGAUUAUGUUUCACUUCUGUGAUUAAGUUAAGUUUCUUCUAUUAGCUUUAUUUACUCCAUAAUUUCUUUUUUACUAAGUAUUUGCAAAUGAAUAUUCCAUUUUACUUUCACUAUUUUAUCUUAUUUUUGCUCUUUUUAAUGUUUAGUCAAUUAUUCUCAUCUAUGGAGUUUUAAACGUUGGUAUGUGCUUAAGCACUAAAUGCAGAUGUGGAAUGGAAGUGUGCUGAUGUACACCAUAUUUUAAUGAUAUACCUCAUACAUGAAACAUAAUUUUCUAAGGAAAUUCUUAAAUUUACUUGUAGAAUGAGUUAUGAUUCAUAAAUCUGGAGUAUGUAGUAAUUGAUGUCCCUUAAUGUAAUGGAACUCAAUAGAAAUUAUACUGCAGGCUGAGGAGUUUUUAAAUCAGGCUGUGAUCAAUGACGUUACUCUGUUUUUUUUUCCCACUCAAUAGAGAAAUUUAGAAUCUGUUUCUUUUGGAUCAUUUUAAAUUUGCUAAAUUUCAGGUAUUGGCACCAAUUCAUGUACUCUUCCUAUUGGUUUGACCUUGUCUAGAUAUGUAUUACAACAAGCACUUUUGCUGGCCUUGAAUAGACCAUAUGCAGGAUCACAAGGUUAUUGGUAUUUCUAAUUUUUUCCUUUUUUUGGAGGGGAAGGCUACCUCUCCUGCUGUAUCCAAAGUCUUUGAGUCAAUUUCGGUGAGAUCUGCUUCCUCAAUUGCUUGUAAUAAUUAGGACGUUUCACUUUUGUUUUUCAAAUAUCCAUAGCCAUGAACUAUAACUUAUAUGUUUGCAGGGGGUAAAGGUUAUAUACAGAACAAGAGAACUAGAGGAACAAUAAGUCAAAAGGUCAGUGUAUACUGAUAUUUGAUUUAAAUGGUCAAUGUUGAUAGAGAUUAUUUAUUUUUAUUUUUAAUUAUGCUAAGUUUUAUCCAAUUUCUAGUUGUUUCAACUAAGAUGCAACACACUUUGUUUUGAGUUUCUUAUGUGCAUACACAGAGUUUUAAAACUGUGAUGUAAAUGUGAAGAGUUUAUGGCAUUGGGUUGGGGGUGAGGGGUUUAAAUUUUGUUGCAAGGUCAUUCAGUUUUGUUUGUUUAUUACCUGAGAUAGCUGCUGUAAGAUGUACCUAGCAAUAUUGAUAUGGUAGUCUUCCUUAAUUAUAUGAGUGGAUCAGUACUUAUUACAUGAAUAAAAUCCCAUUAGUAUAUUUUGGUGCAAAAAGAAUUUCACACUCUUUUAAUGGUCCUACAUCAAUUCAAUCUAAGCCAUUUUUAUUUUGUUUUCUACGUAGGUACUUCUUAAAUGUCAUCUUCAACAUACUUAACAAGUAGAUGCUUUUGUUAUACUCGCCACCUAUUUCAUCCUAAACUUUCCUUAUUAGAAAAAUCUAUAACCAUCAUAAUAAAAAGAGAAGUUUUCAUUUUUUUGCAGCUUUGUUUGUGUUAUACAUAUUCUAGCUGGCGUCAUGUACCGUCUUGUUUCUUGGACUAUUGGUCUUCCCGGCUUGCUGUCAGUUUCAGUUUCAGUGUCUCAGUUGCUGCUUUUGCCCAAUAAGCCACAUUCUGGCCUGCUUAAGUGACGUAAUUUCAGUAUGUAUGCAAAAGCCACACUCUAUAUUCUGCUGUUGUUAUUGUGAUGGAUUGCCAAAUAUUCGUUUCUGGUGUAUGUGUUAUAAAUUUGUGAGAGAUAGUUUCUUGUCUAUUUAAUACGAAGAUCAACUCAUGCUUGGAAAUUCUGUAUUUGUGCUUUUAUUUUAAGACCUAUUUAAAUACUUUCAUUAUUUUUGGAUGACAUGAAACUUGCAAAAUUCAUAGAACAUUUUUAGAUAUACAGUAUUUCUUGGAGAUGCGUGAUGCCAUAUUCUGAGGAUGCUUACAUUUUUUAAUUACAUGUGCUGGAAAUUGAUAUUCUUUUCUUCUUCUUUACUCUGCUUAUGCUUCAUUUGGUUUUUAUUUGUGUUCUUUUGUUUUUAGGUACUGAUGAAUUUGGAUCUUCUAGCUGAAUGAAGGUUUUACCAAUGGAAUAUCAAUAAUAUUUAAAAUGUUUUGCAACUUCAUGUUCAUAUGAUACAAAAUCAUAAUGCUAAACCUAUACAGAUGUAGUAAAUCUCAAAAGAGUGGAGCUACAUCUUAUCAAACCCCAUAGUGUCUUAGUUAUUUGUUGAAAUGCUUUUAUUAGUUCUAUUAGUCAAAUAUGAGGUAUGAAAAUGAAUUUAAUCCAAACACUAUCUUCCUCUGUAAUCUCUGUUGGAGUUCUGUUUCAAUGAAGCCUUGCUGCUGCUUCUGUAUAUAAUCUUACGAAUUAUUUUAUGACCUGAUAUUUCCAUAAUUCUGUGUAGGUUUGUAUUUAAGUAGACUGGGCGUCCUCGACUGAGAAAUAGAAUUAAAAAAAAAAAGGCUGCCUAUCUGCAAGAACUGGAGGAUCAAGUAAGAAGAAUUGGAAUUAGUUUUCCUGUCUUUCCAUAAUCGUAAUUUUUGCAUGAACAUUUUUGCUGCAUGCUUUUAGGUUUCUAAUUGAAGUAUAUUUGAUUUUCAUGCUAUUGGGGCUGACUUUUGAUGUCUUUUCAUCGGGUUUUUGUAAAUUCAGAACCUUGUACAAUGAAACCAGUGAUUACGCAUGCAGUUCGGAAAAAGGUCCGAGUAGAGUAGUAGACUAAAUGCUUUCAUGCAAGUUUUAAUUUCUUAGGCUGAAGUAGUAUUCUGUACUAUUGAGUUUUUUCAUGCCCCCAUAUUCUGAAAAUUGAAAAUUAAUAUUAGUUUACUUUCCUCCUAAAGAUUGAAAAUUUAUAUAGUUAAUUUCCAGAUUGAGUAUGUUAUUUUAAACGUAGCAUCGAUCUCCUUUAAGGAUUUGUUUUCUGAUUUUUUGUGCAUGUCAGAAGAUAUGAAAUGGUUUAAUUGGCAUAAUAUGAGGUUUUCUAAAAUUUUGAUUAUCUUUUUACCUCUCUUUUCAAUUUAGAUAAUUUUACGGUUAUGCUUGAAUUAAUUGUUCUUUUAAUCAAUUUAGGGUUUGAUUUAAUUGAUUCUAAGUGUCAUCUCUGUUCCCAUUCAAAAAAUGAAGAAUGCACAAAUAAUUUUCAUUUUGUUCUCAAUCAAUUUAG
RNAcentral lists this long non-coding RNA (3760 nucleotides) under Citrus maxima (pomelo). RNAcentral's name for it is "long non-coding RNA (CMAX_LNC001381)". Lineage: Eukaryota; Viridiplantae; Streptophyta; Magnoliopsida; Sapindales; Rutaceae. The record is from RNAcentral.